This 354-nucleotide long non-coding RNA is filed under the name Elaeis guineensis (African oil palm). Its description in RNAcentral is "long non-coding RNA (EGUI_LNC014236)". Lineage: Eukaryota; Viridiplantae; Streptophyta; Magnoliopsida; Arecales; Arecaceae. The record is from RNAcentral.
AUGACUUGAUUUGAUCAUGUUGAUUUCACCAAUCAAGAUAUUGGACUAAUCGUAAUGUUGGAUUGUGUCAUCUGAUCAAUUCGAAUUGUACCUCAUAAAUUUUCUCUCCUCUGAUUUUCUCUCUCUACUUGAUUUUUAUGAAAUCAAUGAAGAAAUCUCGAUCCUAUCACUUCGAAUCUGAUUUGAUCCGAUAGUCAAACUUUGGAUCAUUUAUAUCCUAAUUAGAUUUUGAUUAGAUGAAAUUAGAUAAUCGAACCCAAUCUAAAUCAUUGAAAUAUGAUAUUCGUAUUCUUUCUGAUUAUUGAAUUUGAUCUCGUAUAGGUAUCAUUGACCCCUGAUAAUCGGAUAUUGUGA